AGCUCUCUGCUUGUCCUGAAGGGCAUCUUCCUCCCAGGUGUGCUGUGCCUGGAGGUGGGGCUGGGACAGGUUGGAUGGGAAUGUGACUGCUCCCAUCUUUGGGACUGGAUAAAGGGGGAGUCAGUUGGCAGUGUUGUCAGCAAACACUCAAACUGGUUGUGGCUGUGGAUCAUGGCAGUGGUUUGAAACCUGUCCAGGGGACAGGGGAGGCACUGAACCGUUUGUCCAUAUGUUAAAACUUCUACUUGCAGUGUCACAGAUACAUCACAGUUGCUGGCACAGUUUGCGGAGCUCUCCAGAGGCUCCUUCUGCCAGAAGGGACUUUAAAUCAGAAGUGAGGGGCCUCAAACACCUUCCCGAGGGACUUGCACACCUGGAUGGCAACUAGUGCUAUCACAGGCAGUCCCCUCACAGCCACAAGUGUAGGAAAUGAAGCUGUGAGCUGGAGAGAUGGGUCCUGUACCUGCUAAAUCAACCUGGCCAGCUUUGUCUGAGCCCCUGGUGCUUUCGUAGGGCUUUUUUGGCCUUGGGGCUUCUAACACAGAAAAGGAGGGGGAUUGGUCUGGUGAAGAUGUCCAUGAACACCAGCACUGGCACUAAAUCCAGUGCUCAUGCAAAUCUAGAUGUGGGUCCCACUUUGUAGGUCAAUCCCCAAACACCCAAGUGCUUUGUCCUCCUCCAGGUCUGGCUAUCAUGAUGCAGCUGUCCAGGGAGCUGAAGACACUGGCCAGGGAGUUCAGCCUUGCUGUUGUGGUGACCAACCAGGUGACAAGGGACAGCAGCACUGGCCCACUCAAGCCAGCCCUUGGCCGCUCCUGGAGCUUCGUGCCCAGCACUCGGGUGCUGCUGGAGAGCAAAGAAGCCUCCUGGGACAAAGGCACGACACGGCGCGUGGCUGCCCUGGCGAAGUCACCCCGCCAGCCAACAGGGUUACAGGUGGAGCUGGACAUUGGAAAUGGUGA
RNAcentral lists this long non-coding RNA (962 nucleotides) under Lepidothrix coronata (blue-crowned manakin). RNAcentral describes it as "lncRNA (ENSLCOG00000006386.1)". Lineage: Eukaryota; Metazoa; Chordata; Aves; Passeriformes; Pipridae. The record is from RNAcentral.